This 24-nucleotide non-coding RNA is filed under the name Arabidopsis thaliana (thale cress). The record is from RNAcentral. Lineage: Eukaryota; Viridiplantae; Streptophyta; Magnoliopsida; Brassicales; Brassicaceae.
AGAGCGACGAUUGUGGUUAUUGGA